UACGAAGGGGGCUAGCGUUGCUCGGAAUCACUGGGCGUAAAGCGCACGUAGGCGGCUUUUUAAGUCAGGGGUGAAAUCCUGGAGCUCAACUCCAGAACUGCCUUUGAUACUGGGAAGCUUGAGUCCGGGAGAGGUGAGUGGAACUCCGAGUGUAGAGGUGAAAUUCGUAGAUAUUCGGAAGAACACCAGUGGCGAAGGCGGCUCACUGGCCCGGUACUGACGCUGAUGUGCGAAAGCGUGGGGAGCAAACAGG
Molecule: ribosomal RNA, 253 nt
Filed under: uncultured bacterium
Lineage: Bacteria
Description: partial 16S ribosomal RNA
Rfam family: Bacterial small subunit ribosomal RNA
Source: RNAcentral